GAUGAAGAACGUAGCGAAAUGCGAUAAGUAAUGUGAAUUGCAGAAUUCAGUGAAUCAUCGAAUCUUUGAACGCACAUUGCGCCCGCCAGUAUUCUGGCGGGCAUGCCUGUUCGAGCGUCAUUUCAACCAUCAAGCCCCAGGCUUGUGUUGGAGCCCUGCGGCUGCCGCAGCCUCCCAAAACCAGUGGCGGGCUCGCUAUCACACCGAGUGCAGUAGUUUACUCUUCGCUCAGGGCGUGUGGCGGGUGCUAGCCGUGAAACCCCCAACUUCUCAAGGUUGACCUCGGAUCAGGUAGGAAUACCCGCUGAACUUAAGCAUAUCAUAAGCGGAGGA
This 333-nucleotide unclassified non-coding RNA is filed under the name soil metagenome. Its description in RNAcentral is "partial contains 5.8S ribosomal RNA, internal transcribed spacer 2, and large subunit ribosomal RNA". The stretch from base 1 to 120 matches the Rfam family "5.8S ribosomal RNA", at positions 35 to 154 of the family's 154-position model. The record is from RNAcentral.